This 468-nucleotide ribosomal RNA is filed under the name uncultured bacterium. RNAcentral describes it as "partial 16S ribosomal RNA". It matches the Rfam family "Bacterial small subunit ribosomal RNA", at positions 28 to 507 of the family's 1533-position model. The record is from RNAcentral.
GACGAACGCUGGCGGCGUGCUUAACACAUGCAAGUCGAACGGAAAGGCCCUGCUUUUGUGGGGUGCUCGAGUGGCGAACGGGUGAGUAACACGUGAGUAACCUGCCCUUGACUUUGGGAUAACUUCAGGAAACUGGGGCUAAUACCGGAUAGGAGCUCCUGCUGCAUGGUGGGGGUUGGAAAGUUUCGGCGGUUGGGGAUGGACUCGCGGCUUAUCAGCUUGUUGGUGGGGUAGUGGCUUACCAAGGCUUUGACGGGUAGCCGGCCUGAGAGGGUGACCGGCCACCUUGGGCCUGAGAGACGGCCCAGACUCCUACGGGAGGCAGCAGUGGGGAAUAUUGCACAAUGGGCGGAAGCCUGAUGCAGCAACGCCGCGUGCGGGAUGACGGCCUUCGGGUUGUAAACCGCUUUCGCCUGUGACGAAGCGUGAGUGACGGUAAUGGGUAAAGAAGCACCGGCUAACUACGUG